This 553-nucleotide small RNA is filed under the name Malus domestica (apple). Its description in RNAcentral is "sRNA MD03G0096000". The record is from RNAcentral. Lineage: Eukaryota; Viridiplantae; Streptophyta; Magnoliopsida; Rosales; Rosaceae.
UUUUCUUGCAAUUUCCCAUGUAUCAUGUCUGAUCCUAUCAGCUCAAUACUUUUACUUUUCCAGCUGCAGAUGGAUGUCGUCGAAUCUGAAAGGGUUACAAGGACCGGUGGUUAAGACAAAUGAUUUUUCGACGGACAACGCCAUAAUUGGCAACGGUGACGAGGAGCAAAGGGCAUGACGACCUUGAACGCGUUCGAUUUGAUUUCGUUCUCGGCUAGGCUGGACCUGUCGGGGUUGUUCGAGCCGUUGAGCAGCAAACCGACGGAAGACGGCGAGCGAUUUAACAGAAAACUUACAGAGAUAGAGAGAGAAGAGAUUGGUUACUGGUUCUUGACGGAGAGGAAAAUGGAGGUGGGCAGAUUUUUAGGGUUUAUCUUUAAUUAUCGCGAUAAAUUUGAGGAUUGACGGAGUUUGCGAACGCGGAGAAGCUGAAGGUAAGGAGGAAGAAGAAUAAGGUCUGGAUAUGGAAGGCAGAAUGAGAUUUAUCAAUCGGGGAGGAGGUUUGCAGAUUGACAGAUAAUUUGGUGGUGAUGGAAAAAGGGUGCUCGGGGUG